Molecule: ribosomal RNA, 398 nt
Filed under: uncultured bacterium
Lineage: Bacteria
Description: partial 16S ribosomal RNA
Rfam family: Bacterial small subunit ribosomal RNA
Source: RNAcentral
AUACGUAGGGUGCGAGCGUUGUCCGGAAUUACUGGGCGUAAAGAGCUCGUAGGUGGUUUGUCGCGUCGUCUGUGAAACUCCGGGGCUUAACUCCGGGCGUGCAGGCGAUACGGGCAUAACUUGAGUACUGUAGGGGAGACUGGAAUUCCUGGUGUAGCGGUGAAAUGCGCAGAUAUCAGGAGGAACACCGGUGGCGAAGGGGGGUCUCUGGGCAGUAACUGACGCGGAGGAGCGAAAGCAUGGGUAGCGAACAGGAUUAGAUACCCUGGUAGUCCAUGCCGUAAACGGUGGGCGCUAGGUGUAGGGGUCUUCCACGACUUCUGUGCCGUAGCUAACGCAUUAAGCGCCCCGCCUGGGGAGUACGGCCGCAAGGCUAAAACUCAAAUGAAUUGACGGGG